GAAAAAAAAAACGAGACUUGGAAAUCUCUUCCACCCCACCUCCUCCCUGAAGUCACUCUGGCCAUGGGAGUGGAUGGAUGAAGGUCAGAGCAGAACUCCCUCAUCAUGGAAGAGGAAGCACGAGAUCUUUGAAAAGCUACACAUCAUUUGGAGACUCUUGCGUCCUUCAGCUCCUGCAGAAUGAAACAUCACAUGACAAACCAAAUCUUCUUUUAAAAUAUUAACUACUGGUCGGGUGUGGUGGCUCACGCCUGUAAUCCCAGCACUUUGGGAGGCUGAGGCGGGCAGAUCACCUGAG
RNAcentral lists this long non-coding RNA (298 nucleotides) under Homo sapiens (human). Its description in RNAcentral is "HSALNT0178223". Lineage: Eukaryota; Metazoa; Chordata; Mammalia; Primates; Hominidae. The record is from RNAcentral.